Long non-coding RNA from Vollenhovia emeryi, 755 nucleotides. RefSeq lists it as uncharacterized. The record is from RefSeq and is a predicted model, not a curated record. The transcript is spliced from 3 exons. NCBI's taxonomy places the organism in Eukaryota, Metazoa, Arthropoda, Insecta, Hymenoptera, Formicidae.
AAACCGUACAUACCUAAAGUACAAACGCUUCCCUCUACGUCGCAUCCCUCUGCUCGUUUUCUCGUCUCUCGCCUCGCCUCACUUGGUCUCUUUGUGCUCCUUUUACAGACGUUCGGAAUUUUACGAAAAGGGAGAGAGUGACGAUGCUUCGUGAGCACAAGAAUAUUUUGCAACAGAGUAACGGGGCUACGUGUACGACCGAGAGAUUGACGGGUGAUAUAUAAGGCUUCGAUAUUCGCUCGCCGCGUGCGUCGCGAUUCCUCGUCCAAGGCCUGCCGUUCAAUCGCUCAGAGAGGGACCGCCAUCUACGUCCCGAUCGGGCACUUUUCCAGGUAAGGGAAAGAAGAUAAACGGGGCGGAGAGGAGAAUCGGAGGGUAAGGGCGGAGUAAGUGUGCAAUGGUGAAUGUGGUGAAUAAUAAGUGGCGCGGGACACAAUCAGCGGCACGAGGCAGCGGAUUGGCGAAUCUCCCGACUUCUCCGCCGACGAUCAUCCCCGUGGCGAGCGACGGAGGGUGGAUUUCUAGUACCCCGCUGAGGGAUCGCAAAGAGAACGCGAGCCCGACGGGAAGAAGGCGACACGCGAGGGGGUGGAGCAAGGAGGCGGCGCGGAGAGCAGCGGCGAAAAAUCGGGAGCAAUAAAAGGUCCUCGUGACGGAGGGGCUUCGCACGGCCCUGGCGCGACUGCGGCACUGUACCCCUGCGGGGGGCUCGCUGCCGAACACACCGAAUCCACCGUCCACCCCGGAACACAAAU